This 750-nucleotide ribosomal RNA is filed under the name uncultured bacterium. Its description in RNAcentral is "bacterial SSU rRNA". It matches the Rfam family "Bacterial small subunit ribosomal RNA", at positions 37 to 750 of the family's 1533-position model. The record is from RNAcentral.
UGGUGACAGCCUAUACUGCAGNUCGGGCGAGCUUGCCUAGAUGAUUUUAGUGCUUGCACUAAAUGAAACUAGAUACAAGCGAGCGGCGGACGGGUGAGUAACACGUGGGUAACCUGCCCAAGAGACUGGGAUAACACCUGGAAACAGAUGCUAAUACCGGAUAACAACACUAGACGCAUGUCUAGAGUUUGAAAGAUGGUUCUGCUAUCACUCUUGGAUGGACCUGCGGUGCAUUAGCUAGUUGGUAAGGUAACGGCUUACCAAGGCAAUGAUGCAUAGCCGAGUUGAGAGACUGAUCGGCCACAUUGGGACUGAGACACGGCCCAAACUCCUACGGGAGGCAGCAGUAGGGAAUCUUCCACAAUGGACGAAAGUCUGAUGGAGCAACGCCGCGUGAGUGAAGAAGGGUUUCGGCUCGUAAAGCUCUGUUGGUAGUGAAGAAAGAUAGAGGUAGUAACUGGCCUUUAUUUGACGGUAAUUACUUAGAAAGUCACGGCUAACUACGUGCCAGCAGCCGCGGUAAUACGUAGGUGGCAAGCGUUGUCCGGAUUUAUUGGGCGUAAAGCGAGUGCAGGCGGUUCAAUAAGUCUGAUGUGAAAGCCUUCGGCUCAACCGGAGAAUUGCAUCAGAAACUGUUGAACUUGAGUGCAGAAGAGGAGAGUGGAACUCCAUGUGUAGCGGUGGAAUGCGUAGAUAUAUGGAAGAACACCAGUGGCGAAGGCGGCUCUCUGGUCUGCAACUGACGCUGAG